Molecule: non-coding RNA, 203 nt
Organism: Cinara cedri
Lineage: Eukaryota; Metazoa; Arthropoda; Insecta; Hemiptera; Aphididae
Source: the annotation of a GenBank genome assembly
UAUUCUUAAGAUACCUGAAAACAUUAAAGUGAGGUGGCUAUCUCACUAUAAGAUAGUGAAUGCUGUCUUUAGAAGUUUAAAAUCAAUUAUGAUGGCUUGCAAGCAUAUCUACAAGAACGACAUAGAUCUUGCAUCACUAACAGAUGAUAUUUUGUUGGGAAUAAGAAAAACAAGCUUCUUUGUCACCUGUUAUGUAAUGAAUG